UGGGGAAUUUUCCGCAAUGGGCGAAAGCCUGACGGAGCAAUACCGCGUGAGGGAUGACAGCCUGUGGGUUGUAAACCUCUUUUCUCAAGGAAGAAGUUCUGACGGUACUUGAGGAAUAAGCAUCGGCUAACUCUGUG
RNAcentral lists this ribosomal RNA (137 nucleotides) under uncultured bacterium. Its description in RNAcentral is "partial 16S ribosomal RNA". It matches the Rfam family "Bacterial small subunit ribosomal RNA", at positions 355 to 507 of the family's 1533-position model. The record is from RNAcentral.